RNAcentral lists this ribosomal RNA (278 nucleotides) under Chaetoceros curvisetus. RNAcentral's name for it is "partial Bacterial small subunit ribosomal RNA". It matches the Rfam family "Bacterial small subunit ribosomal RNA", at positions 353 to 623 of the family's 1533-position model. The record is from RNAcentral. Lineage: Eukaryota; Bacillariophyta; Thalassiosirophyceae; Chaetocerotales; Chaetocerotaceae.
AGUGGGGAAUAUUGGACAAUGGGCGAAAGCCUGAUCCAGCCAUGCCGCGUGUGUGAAGAAGGUCUUCGGAUUGUAAAGCACUUUAAGUUGGGAGGAAGGGCAUUAACCUAAUACGUUAGUGUUUUGACGUUACCGACAGAAUAAGCACCGGCUAACUCUGUGCCAGCAGCCGCGGUAAUACGGAGGGUGCAAGCGUUAAUCGGAAUUACUGGGCGUAAAGCGCGCGUAGGUGGUUUGUUAAGUUGAAUGUGAAAUCUCCGGGCUCAACCUGGGAACUG